UCGUUUAUUAUUAGAGUUUUUUGUGUAUUUACUCAGUGAAAACUUCAAAAUCAAAGAAAAAAAUCUUUGCUCAAAAUGUCUUAUGGAAACUAUUGUAUGGUGAGGAACUGUGGAAACUGUAGUACGAAAGAUUCUCCGAGUUUUUUGAAUUUACCAUAAAUAUCUGAACUACUCUGAAGUGAAUAGGAUUUUCAGUAUGUCCAGACAUUAACUUGGUGAACUGCAGUAAAAAAGUUUCUCCUGGAAUACGUAGAGUCAUUAUAAUUUCUUUGAGGUUGCAUCUCCUAAAUACUGAGCAGAAAAAAGAAAUUUGUUCUCUGAUGUACGAUGAAAUUAGUCUAUCUGAAGAGUUGCACUUUGGCGAUCACCACGUUGUCUAUGCGUAAGUGGUGAGACAAGCUGAGGAUGGUAUAAAAGAGUAAGUCCAAAACUUCAAGUGAAAAAAACAGAGCAAUACAAAGUACUAGAGAAACCAACAGGUCGAAUUUGGGAAUAAUUUUUAAGUUUAAAUCUGAUUUUCUCAAAACCAAAUAAAAUGCACUUGUACUCCUAGGCUCUUAUACUACAAUUUUAUACAUUAGAAUAGAUACACGUAUUUCAAUUUAUCACUGAAUUUUAUCAUUUAUAGCUGGAUAUAUGUAUUAUUAGGUUGAUAUGCAAUUCAUGUUAUUAGUGAAGUUAUUUGCAUUUUGGAGUUGACUUGUUAUUCUUACAUAUCUUUACCGAUAUACAGGUUACACCUAUGUAAAUUUGUUUUUAAUUGUGGUUCUGAAAAUUCUGUAACUAAUAUGUAAAAGAAUUCUUGAGAUAUGUUGUAUCGAAUAUUUGUUCAUAUUAAUUUCUGAUAAAAAUUUUA
This is a long non-coding RNA of Coccinella septempunctata (seven-spotted ladybird), 856 nucleotides long. RefSeq lists it as uncharacterized. The record is from RefSeq and is a predicted model, not a curated record. Lineage: Eukaryota; Metazoa; Arthropoda; Insecta; Coleoptera; Coccinellidae. The transcript has 2 exons.